This 377-nucleotide unclassified non-coding RNA is filed under the name uncultured bacterium. RNAcentral's name for it is "contains 16S-23S intergenic spacer region". The record is from RNAcentral.
UCCGGUUUGUCACCGGCAGUCCCAUUAGAGUGCUCAACUGAAUGUAGCAACUAAUGGCAAGGGUUGCGCUCGUUGCGGGACUUAACCCAACAUCUCACGAUACGAGCUGACGACAGCCAUGCAGCACCUGUGCACGAGCUCCGAAGAGCCCCGCGGGUUUCCCCACGAGUUCCCGUGCAUGUCAAGCCCAGGUAAGGUUCUUCGCGUUGCGUCGAAUUAAACCACAUGCUCCGCUGCUUGUGCGGGCCCCCGUCAAUUCCUUUGAGUUUUAGCCUUGCGGCCGUACUCCCCAGGCGGGGUGCUUAAUGCGUUAGCGCCGGCCCUCACGGGGUCGCUCCCCCAAGGACCUAGUGCCCAUCGUUUACGGCGUGGACUAC